ACAGCCAUUUUCUAGAUGUAGUCAAUGGGAUGUGGGUGAAAAUGGUACAGUAAGUGACUGACCUUGAUCAUGGCCGGGAAGAGGUUUAAGAACUCAAGCACUGGAAGUCAUUUUGGACCCUAGGGUGCCAUUUGGACUGAAAACCCUGUAAAGCAGAGCAACAAGACAAGGAAUUUGAGGCUUUGAGACCACAGAGAGGUAACUGCUGUGGCCAUCCCAGGGGCUGUACUGGGAUUCAGAAGAUCCUGGAGGACAGUUCAUAAGAUGUUUUAGAUAGCUCCAUGAUCUGAAAUCUCACAAGGGCUAAUGUAGCCAGAGCAGAGGGCGUUUUGGCUACAGACUGAAAAGGAAGAAAGAAGAAAGACUCAAGAGAAAAUGGGAGGAGGUUUAUGGGAGUGGCUGCCAUCACCCAGGACAUCUGUUUUCUAAAGUAAUACAGAUAUGUUUGGAAAAUGUAUGUGCACGGAAGAAAAGAAAAAUCAAAUAAUCCCACCCGGCUGAGACAAUACUCUCAAUUGUAUCAAGAUUGUGACGUAUUUCAGACCUUUACCACAUCACUCAGAGCAAAACACACUUUGAGGAUGUGACUAAAGUUCCAGCUCUUCAGAUGAGGAAGUUAUCCAGGAUUAACUAAGCCCAGUGUAAUCACAUGAGUUCUUAAAAGCGGAAAAGGAAGAAAGCUGGCAACUUCGUGAGAGAGAAGUGAUAUGAGAGGGUCCUAGCUUGCUAUUGCUGUCUUUGAAGAUGGAAAGAGCAGGUCAUGAGCCAAAGAAUGUAGGCAGCCCUAGAAGCUGGAGAUGGCCUUCAGCUAAUCACUGUACCCAACUGAAUUUUGCCAACAACCUGAAAGAGCAAGAAAAUAGUGACCUCAGAUACAGAACUUUAAAGAAAUGGAUUCUCUCUUGAUGUCUCCAAUAAGGAACAGAACUCUGGUGACACAUUGAUUUUUAACCCUAUAAGACCAGUGUGAGACACCUGGUUGGCAGAAAUAUAUUAGAUAAUAAAUUUGUUUUAAGCCUUGAAAUUAUGGUGAUUUGUUACAGCAGCAACAGAAAACUAAUACACCCUGCAUAGGGUUUGAACCAUUUUGCACUCUCCUCAGCAAGUGGUGAGUCUUUUCCCCCACAUCUUCUCCAAUAGAAUAUGUUGCCGGACUU
Molecule: long non-coding RNA, 1157 nt
Organism: Canis lupus familiaris (dog)
Lineage: Eukaryota; Metazoa; Chordata; Mammalia; Carnivora; Canidae
Exons: 4
Source: RefSeq, a predicted model, not a curated record